RNAcentral lists this long non-coding RNA (404 nucleotides) under Trifolium pratense (red clover). Its description in RNAcentral is "long non-coding RNA (TPRA_LNC011001)". The record is from RNAcentral. Lineage: Eukaryota; Viridiplantae; Streptophyta; Magnoliopsida; Fabales; Fabaceae.
GAGAGUUAGAAAACAUAACCGCAUAUCAUACGAGUAUAAGAAAGGUCUUACACUUUCAAACUACAUCAUACAUAUUCUAACUCACGUCAAAACAUCGCACCAAACAGUUACCAAUUAAUAAAGUUUAGCACAGUUUAACCAGAUAAUGUCACAUACCAUUUAUCAAAUAUAUGCGCAUUUACCCUAAUGUAUCUAAUGCCAAUCAUUCUAUGUCAUGCCAUCCCUAGACACGACUAAUGCAUGUGGUACCAAUUGCCUUUUACCCCUCAUGGAUAAGUUAAACAGUUUUACAUCUUGCCAGAUUGUUCGGAACUUACCAAACCUUCAUAUCCCUCAUGGAUAAGUUAAACAGUUUUAUAUCCUGCUGGAUAGCAGCUCUAGAUCUUAUGGAUUCAUCUAAUCCG